UACGUAGGGGGCAAGCGUUGUCCGGAUUUAUUGGGCGUAAAGAGCGUGUAGGCGGCCAUGUAGGUCCGUUGUGAAAACUCGAGGCUCAACCUCGAGACGCCGAUGGAAACCAUGUGGCUAGAGUCCGGAAGAGGAGAGUGGAAUUCCUGGUGUAGCGGUGAAAUGCGCAGAUAUCAGGAAGAACACCAGUGGCGAAGGCGGCUCACUGGCCCGGUACUGACGCUGAGGUGCGAAAGCGUGGGGAGCAAACAGG
Molecule: ribosomal RNA, 253 nt
Filed under: uncultured bacterium
Lineage: Bacteria
Description: partial 16S ribosomal RNA
Rfam family: Bacterial small subunit ribosomal RNA
Source: RNAcentral